Molecule: microRNA precursor, 78 nt
Filed under: Chinchilla lanigera (long-tailed chinchilla)
Lineage: Eukaryota; Metazoa; Chordata; Mammalia; Rodentia; Chinchillidae
Description: miRNA (ENSCLAG00000021001.1)
Source: RNAcentral
CCUUGAGCUCACUUUGUAGGCCAGGCUGGUCUUGAACUUGCAAGGAUCCUCCUGCCUCAGCCUCCUAAGUGCUGGGAU